AGAGCGAACGCUGGCGGCAGGCCUAACACAUGCAAGUCGAGCGCCCAGUAAUGGGAGCGGCAGACGGGAUAGUAACACGUGGGAACGUACCUUUCAGUUCGGAACAACCCAGGGAAACUUGGGCUAAUACCGAAUACGCCCGUAAGGGGAAAGAUUUAUCGCUGAAAGAUCGGCCCGCGUCUGAUUAGCUAGUUGGUGGGGUAAUGGCCCACCAAGGCGACGAUCAGUAGCUGGUCUGAGAGGAUGAUCAGCAUCACUGGGACUGAGACACGGCCCAGACUCCUACGGGAGGCAGCAGUGGGGAAUAUUGGACAAUGGGCGCAAGCCUGAUCCAGCCAUGCCGCGUGGAUGAUGAAGGCCCUAGGGUUGUAAAGUCCUUUCGGCGGGGAAGAUAAUGACGGUACCCGCAGAAGAAGCCCGGCUAACGUUCGUGCCAGCAGCCGC
This 444-nucleotide ribosomal RNA is filed under the name uncultured bacterium. RNAcentral's name for it is "SSU rRNA". It matches the Rfam family "Bacterial small subunit ribosomal RNA", at positions 26 to 518 of the family's 1533-position model. The record is from RNAcentral.